RNAcentral lists this ribosomal RNA (200 nucleotides) under uncultured bacterium. RNAcentral's name for it is "partial 16S ribosomal RNA". It matches the Rfam family "Bacterial small subunit ribosomal RNA", at positions 339 to 531 of the family's 1533-position model. The record is from RNAcentral.
UACCGGGAGGCGACAGUAGGGAAUCUUCCGCAAUGGGCGCAAGCCUGACGGAGCAACGCCGCGUGAGUGAGGAAGGUCUUCGGAUCGUAAAACUCUGUUGUUAGGGAAGAACACGUACGAGAGUCACUGCUCGUACCUUGACGGUACCUAACCAGAAAGCCACGGCUAACUACGUGCCAGCAGCCGCGGUAAUAUCUGCC